CUGGAUAGGUGCGUGCUCAAAGCCUUCUGCCAUUGUAUGGUGAUAUUCUGUGUGUUGUGGCUGUCUCAACAGCAAAACGUGCUGUCAUAGGUGUCUCUUUUUGCUUUUUCCAUGUUCCCCUCCCUCAGCAAUGGCACCUGCACCGCGCACCAGGUUGUGAGUUUCCCAAUGCUCACACAGUGGCUGGAGUAAGUCUGCCAUGGGAGAAUCUGCUGUGUUUGGUGUGGCAUGAGAAGGCAGAAAUGCUUUGCACCUUAAAUAAUACCUUCCUCCAAGGAUCUCAAGGCACAUAGCAAACACUGGCUGAGCUUCACCUUCUUAUGGGGAGAUGUGGUAAUCUACAUAACCUUUUCCUUUCCUGAGUGGCUAGUCAGCCUGAACUUGAAAAAUUGGCAUGCUGAACCAUCAGGACCAGUUAUGAAACACUUUAAUCCAUAUUUCUUUUGGAAUAAUGCAACAUCUUACAGAUAAUAGAUUAAUGGAACUGAGAAAUCCAAGAAGGAAAGUGGAGGCUGAGUGACGCUGAUUACUCUGGAAGGUGUCAUGUCAUUGAUAGUUUUUGUUUUUUAUGCUGAUAUUAACUACACACUGUAAAGUGAAACCAGGAUUUGGAAACUGUGAAUUGCUACUCAACAAAAUGAGUGAGGAAAGAAGUUUCAGUGGGAGACUAUGUUGACUGCAUCAAGGUGAAAGGGGAGGAAGGAUCUAUUGCCAGUCUUGCCCCAAGUGACUUUGUGACUGUGGAUUUCUUUGCCUUCUUCCAGUUUCAGCCAUGUCAG
Molecule: long non-coding RNA, 779 nt
Organism: Zonotrichia leucophrys gambelii
Lineage: Eukaryota; Metazoa; Chordata; Aves; Passeriformes; Passerellidae
Exons: 7
Source: RefSeq, a predicted model, not a curated record